RNAcentral lists this non-coding RNA (63 nucleotides) under Rhodococcus sp. (in: high G+C Gram-positive bacteria). Lineage: Bacteria; Bacillati; Actinomycetota; Actinomycetes; Mycobacteriales; Nocardiaceae. The record is from RNAcentral.
ACAGACUGCUGACACAGACCCGGACGAGCGCACCGUACCCGGCCAGCGACAAGACGGUGCCAG